GAAAGGAUGGAGGCCAUUACUCAUCUUCUGACACGUCUCUGCCGGAGGUGAAGAGGACAACCGUGCAGGGGGUGUGGAUCUUUGAUCGAGCGAAUUAAAGGUUCGGCGAGAGGACGGCUCACUUCUGACUGGACCUGUUCCACAACCCAGGGGAACACGACGGACCUCUGGAGCUGGAGCUUGACUCGGGUGUUGGUGGGACAAGGAGGACCUUCCACUGUUCCUCUCGGUCUCUCGCUGUGGUGAGGGCUUUCCCCUCUCCCAGAGUUUGCGCGUGCGUCCUGAUACCUCUCCUUUGUUUUCCUGACCUGCUGAACUUGACUCUUUGUUUGGCCCCGUCACUGACACUGUGUCCCCCCUGUCCACCCAGGACGCUGCUCUGACUGGUGCUCAGAGACUGACCGCUGAUCUCCAGCCCUGACCUCUCCCAGCGAACCCGCGAGGUGCUGCUCGGAGUCUCAGUGCUCCACUUCUCCUCACGCACCCGUCCCCCUCCCCCCGAGACCCGGACCCUUCCUCUCUGCUGUGACUCAUCUGGGUCUGUGAGCCUCCACGCCGUCAACAACACCAGCAGAUGCCAUUAAAGUGCAGCGCUCUGGCAGCACAGAUGUGUUCCUGCCCUUUUAAACCCGUCCUGCUGCGACUCAACCAUCAAACAGUAGCAAUGUGGCUGCAAUUAUAACUCUGGGGGUUUGCCCUUCUGCCUCCUCCAAACGCUCUGCAAGUGAGAGUCCGUUUCCUGAGGCUGCUCUGACUCCGCACCAACGACAACAACCGCUCCUCGCCGUGAGAACCAGGCGCAGGAGCGAAACUGUGGACGUUUGCGUGUCUUCGCCCCAGUCAGGAGGUCAAGCCGUGGGUCCCACUCCACGUGGUGGCUUACUGUGGCAGCGUGUCGAGACCUGAGCAACUGACUCUGUCGCAGCGUGAGACACCAUCCACCUCUCCUGGCACAACACCACGCAGGAGACCCACACACCUGCGGCCCUGUGGACCAGAGGCUUCUCUUCCUCUGAUCGACUCCACCUUCACCACCUUCAACGCCCCUGGUGUGACGGAGGUGUGAACACAUAAUGGGGCUUUGGUUCCAUUAUUCAUCCUCCUCCUCCAGCCAGCAUGCCUUCAUGUCCUUCAUCUCCAUCCUGGGCCUCGUUGGCUGACCUCCUCUCCUUCAUCACCAACAUGCUUGGUCCAUCACUGUCUCGACUCUCCACGUGAGCAAACCCUGACUGUGUGGCCUCAUGACCCUCUGGCUCUGUCUCUCGUUGUCUCCACCCAGCCUGCAUUCUCCUCACCACCACCUGCACUUCCCAAAUCAGGCCGGCUUCAGAUGUGAGAAACUGUGGACCUCUCAGCUUCACAUUCCUGCAGCUGCUGUCUCAGCGUCAGCAGUGGAGGCUUGGUCUGUGCAGCAGGACCUUCAGGACCAGGCUGCCGGAGCUGGUGUGCAAAGUCCUUAAACCCUGCUUGAAAAGGACGUUGUGUGUGGCGGGGGAGGAGCCUGCAGCGUUCCUUUGAUGCCUUGCUGAAAGGCAAACAUGUUGGCUCAGACACUUGACAGGAAGCUGUCGGCUCUUGCUGCGCCGAGCAGAGAAGUCACGGAACGCUCCGAAACAAACAGAGAAAUCAGGCAGGUUUUGUUUGUCAGUACAGCGUGUUCCGUCUUCGCAACACUUUCAUUGACGUGGGCUUGUGCGCUGGCAGGGCGCCAGGCUGACGAGCGUUUGCUGAAACUUAGCGGGUCAAGUACCAACCUGCCGCGUGCAGCAGCGUGGCCCAGGGACACGAAGGAAAAUCAUUGAUCCAGGUUCAACAGAGAGCAGCAACCCAUGGUUCUGAUCCAAGAUGAGUCGUCCGGCCCCAUGCCACAGACUCUGGAGUCGGGGGUCAGAACCGCAGGUUUGGAUCAGGCUCACAGUCAGAAACAGCUUCCAACUAACAGGCUUCACAGAGACAUGAAGGAGGUGAAGAGGAGAGUGCAGGCGGGAGAAGACCAUGCCAUAAACUGACACCGUUCUGACCCAGGGGUCGAGACCAACACGCUUGUCGUCCAGAAUCAAAGGGGAGUCGGAGCCUGUGAGGACCAACGAUCGCUCACCUGCACUGGUCUUUAGGAGAGCGCAAGGACCAUGAGACCCCCAACAUCUGCCGUCCGUGAAGGACAUCAAACACAACAAGUUGGAGGCAGCUUCGUCCCACGACAUCACGCUUGACCUCUGACCUCUGCCAGCAGCUCCAGCUGGAGACUGAACCACUGAGCAACAGUCAGACUGAGAAAUGAGAAACAGUCCUCACCUGGCACAAGGUCACCUUCAGCCAUUAUCAUGUCAUUACUGACUGUAGUUCUGACAUGAGGACACUGUGAUGAGGAUGAUGAAGGUGAGGAUGAUGGUGAUGAUGAAGGUGAGGCUGAAGAUGAUGAAGGUGAGGAUAAAGAUGCUAGUGAUGAAGAUGAUGAAGGUGACGUGUUCUUCUCAGAAUGUUUCCAGUUUCUACUGGAAACAGACAUAUUCAAUGACAAAUGAGGCUCAGAGCCUCUGUUUCUGUGACAGACCCAUUAAAACCCUCUUAAUUGGCCAGUUAACAGCAGCAUGUGAACGUCUCCACAUCUGCGCUUUGUUCUUUAUUCCCUCCUCGCAGUGAUGUCACCGCCGUCCCAUUGUCGUGGAGCGCGAUGACAGAGCCUUCCGUGACUGUCGGCCACUUUGUUUAGCCAAAACAAGCCAAAGCCAGCAGCUAAUUCUGGCUGCACUCACUCCCACCGCAGCAACGUUUCAUGUCCUUCUGACCAGAGUCGCCUGGGAAGGAGGCAGUGUGUUGUCAUGGUCUCACUCACAGCUCUGCUCCCUGAGUCCCAGCUUCUUCUCAGACUGGACUCUCAAAACCCCCCCUGCUGCUCAAAGUUCUGCCCCAAAAACGACCAGGAGCAGAACAAGCCACCCUGAGCCUGUGGCCCC
Long non-coding RNA from Synchiropus splendidus (mandarinfish), 2957 nucleotides. RefSeq lists it as uncharacterized. NCBI's taxonomy places the organism in Eukaryota, Metazoa, Chordata, Actinopteri, Syngnathiformes, Callionymidae. The record is from RefSeq and is a predicted model, not a curated record. The transcript is spliced from 4 exons.